Molecule: long non-coding RNA, 959 nt
Filed under: Homo sapiens (human)
Lineage: Eukaryota; Metazoa; Chordata; Mammalia; Primates; Hominidae
Description: NIFK antisense RNA 1
Source: RNAcentral
GUGUGGAACGGUGCCUGACACACUGUUCGUUUAUCUGUUCUUUGACCACGGUCCUGAAGAAAUGCCCAGGAGGAUUGACGAGAUUGAGGUCAAGAUCGUGGCCCAGUGUGUGGCGCUCCAAGCCAGCUCUUCCCCUUUCAAAACCAGAAAAGCCGCAUGUUUAGAUCGCUCUAGGAGAUUCAUCUCCAUUACGAUACAGGAUAUGGGCUGUUUGAAAACUAUUUCAUCAUCUUUAUCAUCAUCAUUCAGUUCAGCCACUUGAGAUUUUCGCCUCUCCAAAAAUGUUGGUGUACAAACUGGUGUGGGGCCCUGGAUUCAACAAGUAAAGAUUAUAAUACAUAAAUGUAAAACAUGAUUAUGACUUUACCCAAAAAUAUCAUCUCUCCUCUAUUUUUACAAGUUGUGCCCCAUUAUUUUAGCUCUGUUACCAUCUUUUGGUGAUACUAUUGCAAAGAAUAAAGAACUUAGAUGCUUAUCAAACUUGGUACAGAAAUUCACAAUUAACAAAUAUAGCAUGUUCCAUUAUAAGGUUUUAGGCAGAAAAUUGCUAAAUCAACAAUAAAGAUCUACCAAAUGUCACAAUAUUUAAUUUGAAAUCUUAAAAUGAGAGUAGCAGAAACUGCUUCUCCUCCUUCAAAUUAUUUCUAUAAUAUCUGGUGUCUGGAGUAUUGAAAACCAUUUUACCUGGCUAUCCACAGUCUUCUCAGGAGUGUCAAGAGUACCUGAAACUUUUUUCUUCUUCUUACGUAAAACCUUAAAAUAAAUUUUAAAACACAUCAAUUUGAAUAUUGAUCAGCUACAGUAGUCUUGAAUAUGUUUUCCUACUUAUCCUUCUCUAAUAUCUUGCAUGUAAAAUGAUAAAAAAAAUUUUACCUGGCCUUUUGUAGACGUCUGACGAUUAGUUUUUGAAAUACUUUCCGUUUUCUGUAAAAUCUUUAAUAAAGAAGUUAGAAAUUGAC